CCUGGAGAAAUUUGCAAUUGCUGGCAAGAUGUUUGCAUUCACCGGUGAAACUUUGUGUUUACCAGAUCUUUUGCGUUCCCCUGAAAAACGGUGCAUUUGCUGACAAAUCGUUUCUCAAAAAAACUUUCCGUUUGCUCAUAAAAUGUACACAUAACUUGAGAAACGUUGCACUUGCUUGCAACGAAUGCAAGUUUUGCGAAAUAAAACGUUUGCAAGAGAACAUGAAAGCACUGGAUGCAUUUUUUUCCCCUCUCAUUGUCCCUAUAUGGGCUCCAUAGCGCCAUCUUGCAUAUCAUGACACAACUGAACUUGAUAACCACACCAAAAAAGAAGGUUUUCAGCAAAUAAUAAAUUCAGUUUUGGUCUUGAUGCACCAUAUUUAAGUUUAAUAUAUUUGAGAUGGUUUGACAUCUCAAAACCAUGAAAUUGAAAUGUAUCAUAGCUUAAGUAACUUGAAUAAGCAUAUGCAUAAAUCAUAUUUCAGAGCUUCAAUGGCCAACUUUCAAAUAAUGACUUUGUGCACAAAGCUAUCGUGUGUCUUCAGAAAACUUGAAAUAUAGUGCACAAGUGCUUUUAUGGUCUUUUUGGACAUCAAACGCUCUUUUAUUGUAUGAAAUGUUGUGUUUCACAGGUUUGGAACGACACCAGGGUGAGUAAAUGAUGACAGAUUUUUAUUUAGUUCUUUCAUUUUUGGGGUGAACUGUUCCUUUAAGUGCACAAAGCUUAUUUUCUUAUGAUAAUCAGCUCUUUGUUUUCCUAAUUCACCAUUUGCUUUGCUCUCUGUGUCGUUCAUUAGCUUUCCCGAGUGUCAUUUCAAAGGCUCAUCACGGAAGCUUGUCUUAUCUGAUUAAAAGCGAAUUAAAACAAAAGAUUUCUCGGCACGGCGACACGCAAAGGCCUGCUUUAAUUACCAGCACUUUGAACCCCGAGCGUGUAGAGCGUGGCGUUGUUCUCGUCACUGCGAGAGGGCACGAUUGGAGGAGAUGUGCGCGCUCGCACGCGCAAUCAGCGGGUUCCUCGAGUUCUCUCGUGCACCUUCACCGGUGCGUGCAAACCGAGCCGAAAGCGCUAACAAAUCUAAUGACUAAUGAUGUGCAGGUGUUUGCCACCGAUCCGGCCGCUGUGACCAAGUUUCAGUUUGCAGUGCAGCAGUUGGCGAGCGCUUGGGAAAGCUGCUCGUGAUCCGUCAGUAGACAUCAGACAGAAGCUCAGAUGAAGCUAUACGUAGAUCCUACUCACUGGAUUAUUGCCUGCUGUUUCAAUUAUGUGCACAAGAACGUGAUAAUAGAAAAAACAAGAACAAUGUAACUUUGAGCUCCGGCGACGUCUGCUGGCAGCUCUGGGUACUGCAUCGUUCCAGUGCGGCUUUAUUUUGUUACUCAAACAAGCUUGCUUUCCCACAUUAACUUCCAAAACAUUCUUGUAAUAAAACAUAGUAUAUUUCUUUGAAAAAGUGAAGAAUUACCUCUAGCUGUGGUCUCUAAACUACUAUUAACCUGACGUAGGUCCAUGCUGAAUUAGAUUUUUUCCUUGCAUCGCUCAGAUUAAUAGCGUUUCUCUGUGAUUUAGCCCUGGAGAUGUGUCUGUAAUAGCAUAUGCCUUCCAGGCCUAAUUACCCUAAAUGCAAUUUAAGUUUAUUAUCUUUUGUAUCCAGGGAGAACUGCACAACUCCGUUAUUAACCAAACUGUCCUCCUUUCUUACUGUCCGACAAUUUACAGCAGGAUUCAAUCAAGUUACCGUAAGUAAAACCGAUGAUUUUUACUUUCGUUGACGGGAAAGCACUCGAUGGUCAGGCCGCUGUGGGCCUCUGGUCAACAGAAUACUUUUUGCAGUCUUCAUCCACGUCCCAUUGACGGAUUUUGACCAAAAGCAAAUAAACGGAGAACAUUAGAGCAGAAGGCAAAGUAUGCAGUGUGUUAAAAUCCACUCUCAUUCGAGUCACUUAACAGAAUUAUUAAGUAUUGUAUCUUUUAUUAAAUAAAAAAAAAGGCAAGAAAAACCUCAAACCUGGAUUUGUUGUCAUAGUCUGGCAUCAUUUUUCUGUCACUUUACUGUCUAUCCAAGAAGACCAGCCUGAAUUUAUUUUGGUUUAAUAUGCAUAAAUGUGUGUUUUUGUAUUUGUUGUGUAUAUUUUGUUGCAUGCUAGAGUCUGAUAGGAUUAGCUAAGCAACAUAAUAACAGCACACUAUAAGAAGAGUCAUCGUCACUGGAGCAUGGUCACAUGACUUCUGCAGCUCAGGUGAUUGGCUCAGAAAGAUCUCUGAGAGCAAAGAUGUCCGAAUUGAAAUCUCCAGGUAUUACAGAACACCUUGUUUAAACAG
Cyprinus carpio carpio is the source of this 2322-nucleotide long non-coding RNA. The record is from Ensembl. NCBI's taxonomy places the organism in Eukaryota, Metazoa, Chordata, Actinopteri, Cypriniformes, Cyprinidae.